This is a long non-coding RNA of Capra hircus (goat), 1040 nucleotides long. Lineage: Eukaryota; Metazoa; Chordata; Mammalia; Artiodactyla; Bovidae. The record is from Ensembl.
GUUCACUCCCAAGACCCCUGGAGGGGUCCUUAGCCAAGCAGGGAUCCUCUCCAGGUGAUAUAUCCAGCACUGGGAAACUUCCUGAAUUUUACCCAAGCAGAGUGGGUUUGAAGAUCACUUGGAAAAUUCCUCAGAUUUCCAAAUAUCCCCUUUGCCGUGGGAGUGGCAGCUGAGAGCUUCUGUCUGAUCUUCUAGACAUCAGCGCGUGGACCUGUUUCUGCUCUGGCUUCCCCCCUUCUCCAAUUCCUGGGCUGGAGGCUGGAGAAAUGGGGCUCCUGCUUCUCUUGCUUCCUUGGGUCGCCCCUGUGAGGCUGGGCUGGGACCUUCCAAAUCGGUGGAUUCCUGAGAAGGACAAACUUGGGGCAGGUGUCUACCUUGCCCUCAGAGCUGACGACGGGGGACAGGCGGUCACAACAGAGCUUUGAGGGACGGCCAUCGGACCGCAGCCUGUGGCACACCAUCUCUACAGACCUGGGGCCCUCGCAAGCCGUCCAGACUGCAGUGCUGGGGUCCGGACAGUGAGGGGGCUGCUGGACACUAAUUCCCAGUGGAAGAGAGGACAAGGAUGGGUCACUAAUCUCCACCCUGAGAAAGACAGGCGGCCACCAGCGAUGUCCGAGGCCAGAGCUGGGCAGGCUGAGCCCCAGAUGCUUCAAGCCUGUGACAUGUUCUGUCAGAAUUUCAUUUGUCGGCGCGGCUUCAGCCUUAUUCUUGGCAGAUGCGGACAGCAGGGGAGAGGUACGAGUCUAAAUUCCCUUCUGCGGUCCUUGAAAACGAAGUGGCAGGGCUUUUCCCCCACCAACACUGAGCUCCACCCAAGGCGGGGAAAGCAAAGUGUGCCCCAGAGCCCGCGAGAAGGGCGAGUGUAUAUUCACCAUCCAUCCAACUGCGCCUCUCCUUGCUUCUUAAAUCGCUGGUUUAUUAAAUGACUCACAUCGUCCCUUUAUUCAUUUCCAUAAUCACUUUGGUUUUUAUGUUUAUAACUUUUUUUUAUUGAAGUGUAGCUGAUGUACAAUAUUAUAUGUUACAGGUGUACAAUA